RNAcentral lists this ribosomal RNA (497 nucleotides) under uncultured bacterium. RNAcentral's name for it is "partial 16S ribosomal RNA". It matches the Rfam family "Bacterial small subunit ribosomal RNA", at positions 28 to 507 of the family's 1533-position model. The record is from RNAcentral.
GAUGAACGCUGGCGGCGUGCCUAAUACAUGCAAGUCGAGCGAACAGACGAGGAGCUUGCUCCCCUGACGUUAGCGGCGGACGGGUGAGUAACACGUGGAUAACCUACCUAUAAGACUGGGAUAACUUCGGGAAACCGGAGCUAAUACCGGAUAAUAUAUUGAACCGCAUGGUUCAAUAGUGAAAGACGGUUUUGCUGUCACUUAUAGAUGGAUCCGCGCCGCAUUAGCUAGUUGGUAAGGUAACGGCCUACCAAGGCAACGAUGCGUAGCCGACCUGAGAGGGUGAUCGGCCACACUGGAACUGAGACACGGUCCAGACUCCUACGGGAGGCAGCAGUAGGGAAUCUUCCGCAAUGGGCGAAAGCCUGACGGAGCAACGCCGCGUGAGUGAUGAAGGUCUUCGGAUCGUAAAACUCUGUUAUUAGGGAAGAACAAAUGUGUAAGUAACUAUGCACGUCUUGACGGUACCUAAUCAGAAAGCCACGGCUAACUACGUG